This 485-nucleotide ribosomal RNA is filed under the name uncultured bacterium. RNAcentral describes it as "partial 16S ribosomal RNA". It matches the Rfam family "Bacterial small subunit ribosomal RNA", at positions 30 to 507 of the family's 1533-position model. The record is from RNAcentral.
UUGAACGCUGGCGGCAUGCCUUACACAUGCAAGUCGAACAGCAGCACGGGUGCUUGCACCUGGUGGCGAGUGGCGAACGGGUGAGUAAUACAUCGGAACAUGUCCUGUAGUGGGGGAUAGCCCGGCGAAAGCCGGAUUAAUACCGCAUACGAUCUACGGAUGAAAGCGGGGGGCCUUCGGGCCUCGCGCUAUAGGGGUGGCCGAUGGCUGAUUAGCUAGUUGGUGGGGUAAAGGCCUACCAAGGCGACGAUCAGUAGCUGGUCUGAGAGGACGACCAGCCACACUGGGACUGAGACACGGCCCAGACUCCUACGGGAGGCAGCAGUGGGGAAUUUUGGACAAUGGGCGAAAGCCUGAUCCAGCAAUGCCGCGUGUGUGAAGAAGGCCUUCGGGUUGUAAAGCACUUUUGUCCGGAAAGAAAUCCUUGGCCCUAAUACGGUCGGGGGAUGACGGUACCGGAAGAAUAAGCACCGGCUAACUACGUG